GCCAGGCGUGGUGAGCAAGCCUGUAAUCUCAGCGGCUCUGGAGGCUGAGACAGGAGAAUCACGAGUUCAAAGCCAGCCUCAGCAAAAGCGAGGCGCUAAGCAACCCAGUGAGACCCUGUCUCUA
RNAcentral lists this small RNA (124 nucleotides) under Marmota monax (woodchuck). The record is from RNAcentral. Lineage: Eukaryota; Metazoa; Chordata; Mammalia; Rodentia; Sciuridae.